Molecule: long non-coding RNA, 908 nt
Organism: Arvicola amphibius (Eurasian water vole)
Lineage: Eukaryota; Metazoa; Chordata; Mammalia; Rodentia; Cricetidae
Exons: 4
Source: RefSeq, a predicted model, not a curated record
GUUGAAGGGCCUCUUGCUUCGGUCUGACUGAGACUGCUCAAUGUUGAUAGACUGGUUCAGGGCCUCCAGCUGGAGAGCAAUGGGACCAGGGCACCUCAGGACAAGGCAAACCCCAAACCUGCCUUCACUCCAUGCAGCUUCAGAUAGAAGCAGUCCAGCGGCUUGAGGCCUUCCGGUGUCUUAACAUACUUGGGCUCGCCCAGCAUGCCGAUGUACACAGUCACCUGGAAGUGGUUCUUCUUCUGGCACACAAAGGCAUCAUCACCCACCGAAAAGUUAAAGCCCUUGUCAGCAUCCACACGAUAGCCUUACCCCUACCCCUGUGGAAUCCAGGAGGGCAAGGUUCUGAGCCUCCACAGAGCAUCCUACACACAUGGCCUCUCUCAGAAACCUGAGGAUUUCAUCAACUCUCAUUCCCACAGCUGGACAGACUCCCCUCCAUGAUGCCCAGGGACCACCGGAAAGGCUUCAGAGUCUUUGUGAACACAUUCCUGCUCUGGCUGUAGAGUUUUACCACAUCCCUGGACAAGCCAUGCCCACUUCUUCCCCGGCCUCUGCCCCCCAGCUUGUGGAGGCCUCAUUACAUCUCUGAAAUCAGCUCAAGAAUAAAGAUCCUGAAUCUGAUGCAGACAUGUACCCCAAGUUACUGAGGAGGCUCAAGACGGAGGAUCACAACGUCAAGACCUGCCAGGGCUACAGAAUGAGUUUAAGGCCAACUUGGACAACUUAGUGAGACCCUGUCUCAAAAAGUGGGAAAAAAAGGCCUCCAGGAUGUAGCUCACUGGUUGAGCACUUGCCUAGCAUGCUUGAAGAGCUCCUGAGUUCAAAACCAAGAACCUCAAAUAAAAAAUGUGAACCCCAAAACAAGAUUUCCUGUGGGAAACAUGGAAGAGCAGACAGGGAAGGGC